UUUCAGGGUUUUUUAUUAUGUUA
This 23-nucleotide small nuclear RNA is filed under the name Arabidopsis thaliana (thale cress). RNAcentral describes it as "snRNA_06518". Lineage: Eukaryota; Viridiplantae; Streptophyta; Magnoliopsida; Brassicales; Brassicaceae. The record is from RNAcentral.